UACGUAGGGAGCAAGCGUUGUCCGGAAUCAUUGGGCGUAAAGCGCGCGUAGGUGGCUUCGUAAGUCCGCUGUGAAAGUCGGGGGCUCAACCCUCGAAUGCCGGUGGAUACUGUCGGGCUAGAGUGCGGAAGAGGCGAGUGGAAUUCCUGGUGUAGCGGUGAAAUGCGCAGAUAUCAGGAGGAACACCUAUUGCGAAGGCAGCUCGCUGGGACGUUACUGACGCUGAGACGCGAAAGCGUGGGGAGCAAACAGG
RNAcentral lists this ribosomal RNA (253 nucleotides) under uncultured bacterium. RNAcentral's name for it is "partial 16S ribosomal RNA". It matches the Rfam family "Bacterial small subunit ribosomal RNA", at positions 524 to 776 of the family's 1533-position model. The record is from RNAcentral.